UGAGGAAUAUUGCACAAUGGGGGGAACCCUGAUGCAGCAACGCCGCGUGGAGGAUGAAGGUCUUUGGAUUGUAAACUCCUUUUCUGAGGGAAGAGCAAGGACGGUACCUCAGGAAUAAGUCACGGCUAACUACGUGCCAGCAGCCGCGGUAAUACGUAGGUGGCGAGCGUUAUCCGGAAUUACUGGGCGUAAAGCGCACGCAGGUGGCUUCUUAAGUCUGACGUGAAAGCUCCUGGCUUAACUGGGAGAGGUCGUUGGAGACUGGGGGGCUUGAGGCGAUGAGAGGGGUGUGGAAUUCACGGUGUAGUGGUGGAAUGCGUAGAUAUCGUGAGGAACACCAGUGGCGAAAGCGGCACCCUGGCAUCGGCCUGACGCUCAUGUGCGAAGGCGUGGGGAGCGA
This 400-nucleotide ribosomal RNA is filed under the name uncultured bacterium. Its description in RNAcentral is "bacterial SSU rRNA". It matches the Rfam family "Bacterial small subunit ribosomal RNA", at positions 355 to 771 of the family's 1533-position model. The record is from RNAcentral.